Molecule: ribosomal RNA, 564 nt
Filed under: uncultured bacterium
Lineage: Bacteria
Description: bacterial SSU rRNA
Rfam family: Archaeal small subunit ribosomal RNA
Source: RNAcentral
UGCCAGCCGCCGCGGUAAUACCGGUGGCUCGAGUGGUGGCCGCUAUUAUUGGGUCUAAAGGGUCCGUAGCCGGCCUGAUAAGUUACCUGGGAAAUCCGGUGGCCUAACCAUCGGGCGGCCAGGUAAUACUAUCAGGCUCGGGACUAGGAGAGACCAGAGGUACUCAUGAGGUAGGAGUGAAAUCCUGUAAUCUUAUGAGGACCACCAGUGGUGAAGACGUCUGGUUAGAAUAGGUCCGACGGUGAGGGACGAAGGCUGGGGGCGCAAACCGGAUUAGAUACCCGGGUAGUCCCAGCAGUAAACGAUGCCAGCUAUGUGUUGCUGGAACCAUGGGUUCCAGCAGUGCCGAAGGGAAGCCGUGAAGCUGGCCACCUGGGAAGUACGGUCGCAAGGCUGAAACUUAAAGGAAUUGGCGGGGGAGUACCACAACCGGUGGAGCCUGCGGUUUAAUUGGAUACAACGCCGGGAAUCUUACCGGAGGGGACAGCAGUAUGAAGGCCAGGCUAAAGACCUUGCCAGAUCAGCUGAGAGGAGGUGCAUGGCCGUCGCCAGUUCGUACCGUGA